AAAAAUAGACCUUUCUUUGAAUUUUGUAAAUUCGGAUCGAAUUUUUAAAAGAUUACCCAAAAUACCCUUAUUCGCUGUACUCUUAAUUUUUUUUUUCUAUCGUUGUUUUCUUUUCAUUCUCUCCGAAGAGGACGACGGAGGCGGAGGCGGAGCCAGAGGCGGAGGCGGCCUGCCUUGCCUUUCUCCUGCGUGCCCUCGCCCUCGCCUACGCACCUUCCCUUCGUUUUUCUCACCUCCAAUCCCGCCAAAGCCGCAUCUCGACUCUCUCUUUUUUUUCUCUCCAACUCCCCUCCACCGCCUCCCCGGCCCUUUACAACAAUAAAGAGGACAGCGUCAUGUCGACUUUCUCUCCUUUUUUUUCUCUCGUUCUUUUUUUCUCUUCGACCUGCAUCUACCAUUUCCGCGACCGUCCACGACGGUAACGAGGACAGCACAGCAUCCUCUUCAUCCGCCUUCACCGACACAA
RNAcentral lists this long non-coding RNA (466 nucleotides) under Ananas comosus (pineapple). RNAcentral describes it as "long non-coding RNA (ACOM_LNC016281)". The record is from RNAcentral. Lineage: Eukaryota; Viridiplantae; Streptophyta; Magnoliopsida; Poales; Bromeliaceae.